GAUUCGGCUUGCAAGAUCACAUUGAGAGCUUGCAUAUAAUGCAGGAGAGGUGGCCAAGUAGAAUGUGGGUGCACCAGUAAAAAGAAGACUCUUUGGCCCCUCUUCUGUACCAGUUGACCUUUGGUGUGGGCUGACCAGUGACAUUGCAGGUAUCUUCUUAAUGUGCCUUUAAAAAAAGCAACUGCUACAUGUAUAAUCUAGUGCAUGGAAAGAGACCAGCAGCCCAAGAGAGAAACAAUCUCUUAGAUCUUGUUGCUGAGGUCAGAUCAUCACAGACUUAAUUUCCCAUUCUUGUUAGGCUGGUCACCAGUCCCAUUUGCAUGGACCUGAGCCUUGACCACCAUGGACUGACCACUCCCUGUGGCUGAUGGAAUAC
Lingula anatina is the source of this 376-nucleotide long non-coding RNA. RefSeq lists it as uncharacterized. Lineage: Eukaryota; Metazoa; Brachiopoda; Lingulata; Lingulida; Lingulidae. The record is from RefSeq and is a predicted model, not a curated record.